This is a long non-coding RNA of Callithrix jacchus (white-tufted-ear marmoset), 3383 nucleotides long. Lineage: Eukaryota; Metazoa; Chordata; Mammalia; Primates; Cebidae. The record is from Ensembl.
CCUCAUGAUCCACCCGCCUUGGCCUCCCAAAAUAUUAUUAUUUUGAGAUGGAGUCUCACCGCGUCACUCAGGCUGGAGUGCAGUGGCACAGUCGUGGCUCACAGCAGCCACUAUCUUCCGAGUUCCAGUGAUUCCUCCUGCCUCAGCCUCCCAAGUGGCUGGGAUUACAGGUGCCCACCACCACACCUAGCAAAUUUUUCUAUUUUUAGUAGAGAUGGGGUUUCACCAUGUUGGCCAGGCUGGUCUCAAACUCCAGACCUCAAGUGAUCUGCCCACCUCAGCCUCCCAAAGUGCUGGGAUUCCAGGCACAAGCUACUGCACCUGUCCAAGCCAGAAAUUGAGACAUUCUCCAACGAACACCCACAGCCAAGAAGAGGAGCUCCUGGACGUCCUAGCCAAGGGUGCAUGUUCAGGCUCUCAGGACCCCGAAAUUCAUCCCGCUGAGGCUGUUAGGGGGUGCUGCCAGGAGUCUGUUGGAAGCCAAGGCCCCGGAGCUCCUGGAGAGGGUCCCAUACUCCCUUCAGUCCCUCCCCGAUCCAGGCACAGUGAGUCUCACUAAUGCCAUCAUGCUUUUAGGGAAGAUUCUCCUCCUCUCCAGCCCAGAGUCCACUCCCCUCUCCUGAGUAAUUCACCUCCAUUUCUCUCUGGGAAACCCCCUCCCCACUCUCCCUCCAAGUGACUCCUACAGAGCUCACCCUAUCCCCGGGCUAAAUUAAUGAAUGAAGGAGCCCCAGAACCAGCCAUGCCUGAAGCCAGUUCAGAUCCUGGACUUUAUAGUAACAUGAACCAAUGAAUUCCUAUUUCACUAACCUACUUAAACAAAGCUAACUUGGGUUUCUGUAUUUAGAAACUAAAGAUUCCUGUACAUCCCACUCCUCAAAACAUUCUCCAAGCCCAUAAGGGAAGGAGGGUGGGGGGCUUCUCGGUGCCCUGCCAGAGAGUACAUCUGGCUCCGAAUGCUGGACCGGGAGUCAGACGGACAGGGAAAGGGUCUUCCAGAGUUUUUAGACCUGGCGUCAUCAUUUUGCGUGUUCCUGAGUCUUUUUACCUUGCUCCUGGGGCUCUGGGGCUCUUGUCAGCAGGGAACAUGGUGACAGGCGCCUGGCAGAGAUGGUGUCACCAUCCCUGGAGCAGACCUGUCUGGCAGGCAUAUUCUCGGCCCCUGCAUUUGCAGGACAGGCCCAAGCUCACACAGAGGGCAGACCAGCAGCUUAGCCAUGGGGUGGGCUGAUGAUAAGAAACAGCUGAUUUUCUCCCUGUUAUUUUGCCCAGGUGGAAGGAGGGCUAAGUGAGUGUCUCACCUGAGGCUCAUCCUAGGGCCUGGGGCUUGGCUCACCAUGACAAUGCUCCCAGACACCAGUGCGGCCCAGGAACAUACUGGGGCCACACCUGAGGUGCUGGUGGGACAGUUAGACAUGAAAGGGACCUCCUGGUGUCAUGACAUGAUCAUUUGCAGGUGUCCCAGGGGCUCUUCCUGAAGCCCAGAGACUCCCCCCUCCACCACCAAGUCCUCACCUCUGAACAAGCUGCCUACUUUCCACUACACAGCAGGCCCAGCAGGGUCAUGGUGGCACUGGCUGCCCAAAGGUCAUGAUUUUUCAUUUUUUCAUCUCGCUCUGUCACCCAGGCUGGAGUGCAGUGGCAUGAUCUUGGCUUACUGCAACCUCUACCUCCCAGGUCCAAGCAAUUCUCCUGCCUCAGCCUCCUGAGUAGCUGGGAUUACAGGCACACGCCAUCACACCUGGCUAAUUUUUUAUUUUUAGUAGAGACAGGGUUUCACCAUGUUGGCCAGGCGGGUCUCAAACUCCUCACCUCAGAUGAUCCGCCCCCCUUGGCCUCCCAAAGUGUUGGGAUUACAGGCAUGAGCCACCACGCCCAGCCUCAUUUUUUGUUUUUUGAGACAGUCUUGUUCUGUCACCCAGGCUGGAGUGCAGUGGCAUGAUCUCGACUCAUUGCAACUUCUGCAUCUCAUGUUCAAGCAAUUCUCUUGCCUCAGCCUUCUAACCAGGUGUGCACCAUCAUGUCUGGCUAAUUUUUGUAUUUUCAGUAGAAAUAGGGUUUCACCAUCUCGGCCAGGUUGGUCUCAAACUCCUGACCUCAAAUGAUCAACCUGCCUCAAUAUCCCAAAGUGCUGGGAUUAUAGGUGCAGCCACCACGCUUCUCCGGUUGUGAAUUUCUGGCUUGUUUGUUUUUGUUUUUGAGAUGGAGUUUUGCUUUUGUCACCCAGUCUGGAGUGCAAUGGCACGAUCUUGGCUCACUGCAACCUGUACCUCCCAGGUUCAAGCGAUGCCUCUGCCUCAGCCUCCUGAGCAGCUGAGAUUACAGGUGUGUACCACCACACCUGGCUAAUUUUGUAUUUUUAAUAGAGACAGGGUUUCAUCAUGUUGGUCAGGCAGGUCUCGAACUCCUGACAUCAAGUGAUCCGCCCCCAUCGGCCUCCCAAAGUGCUGGGAUUACAGACGUGAGCCACUGUGCCCUGCUGGUUGUGUUUUUUUUUUUACCCGGAUAGAAUCUGUGCCCUUGCAUGAGGCCCGGCCCACAGCACAACCUUCACUCAGCCUGUUUCACCUGGCCCACCCUGGGCCCUAAACAUCAAACCCACCCUAGACCUGGAGCCCCAGAGGAGGCCCCGUCCCACCGACCAAGCCUAGCUCUCUGUGUGAGGCCUGUCUCCCCAAGUCAUGAAAGACUUCAGUAAGCAAACAAGAUGCAUAUUCUCCUUUUCAGUGGGCUUCUUAAAACAAAAAACAGUCAGUCCCUGCAGCAGCCUGAAAAUGGGUGCCAUGGAAACAGUGGUAGCCAAUGGAGGAGGGAGAGACAGGCCCCUGCCAGAGCCCAGGCCUGCUGCCCUGGCUGAUGGGGCACAGAGGAACCAUCAGGAUUAAGGGGCAAUGGGGAGGGGGUGUCCCCACGUGGCUGGAGUGGGAGGGGUUUCCUCAUCUGGUAGCUCUGAGACGGAGCCCUGCUGUCAGAGGGAUCCACGUGCAUCCCUAGAGAACAGAUCCGUAGUUCCCUGCGGAUCCUCAGACAGCUCUGGGGAGGGAUCCCGGGGGAAGUCACCGUGUCCAUCCAGAUAGCAGGCAGCUAGGAGCCCUGAGCCCCACUCCAGCCUUGCCACAUUCGCCAGAACCGGGACUCUAAGCCCUGCGGGUGGCUUUCCAGGGUGUCAUUGACUCCAUGUGCUGCAGCCCACCCCAUCUCAGGCUCCCUCCUGCCCCAAGAUCAGUGCCCAGGGGGCAGGACCAUGGCCAUGAGCCUUCUGCAGGACUGGUGCCGGGGCCUGGACGUGGACGCACACAGGGCCCUGCUGGUCACCGGCAUCCUGGAGGGCCUGGAGAAGGUGCACGUCGAAGCUGCCCUGCAGCCCUCCCUCCUGCCCCUGG